AGAGUUUGAUCCUGGCUCAGGACGAACGCUGGCGGCGUGCUUAACACAUGCAAGUCGAGCGGAAAGGCCCUUCGGGGUACUCGAGCGGCGAACGGGUGAGUAACACGUGAGCAAUCUGCCCUUAGCUUCGGGAUAGCUCCGGGAAACCGGAAUUAAUACCGGAUAUGACUACGGCCGACAUCGGCCACGGUGGAAAGUUUUUCGGCUAGGGAUGAGCUCGCGGCCUAUCAGCUUGUUGGUGGGGUAACGGCCUACCAAGGCGACGACGGGUAGCCGGCCUGAGAGGGCGACCGGCCACACUGGGACUGAGACACGGCCCAGACUCCUACGGGAGGCAGCAGUGGGGAAUAUUGCGCAAUGGGCGAAAGCCUGACGCAGCGACGCCGCGUGGGGGAUGAAGGCCUUCGGGUUGUAAACCCCUUUCAGCAGGGACGAAGCGAAAGUGACGGUACCUGCAGAAGAAGCGCCGGCUAACUACGUGCCAGCAGCCGCGGUAACACGUAGGGCGCAAGCGUUGUCCGGAAUUAUUGGGCGUAAAGAGCUCGUAGGCGGUCUGUUGCGUCCGCUGUGAAAUCUCGGGGCUUAACCCCGAGCCUGCAGUGGAUACGGGCAGACUAGAGGUAGGUAGGGGAGAAUGGAAUUCCUGGUGUAGCGGUGAAAUGCGCAGAUAUCAGGAGGAACACCGGUGGCGAAGGCGGUUCUCUGGGCCUUACCUGACGCUGAGGAGCGAAAGCGUGGGGAGCGAACAGGAUUAGAUACCCUGGUAGUCCACGCCGUAAACGUUGGGCGCUAGGUGUGGGAUCCUUCCACGGAUUCCGUGCCGCAGCUAACGCAUUAAGCGCCCCGCCUGGGGAGUACGGCCGCAAGGCUAAAACUCAAAGGAAUUGACGG
Molecule: ribosomal RNA, 891 nt
Filed under: uncultured bacterium
Lineage: Bacteria
Description: bacterial SSU rRNA
Rfam family: Bacterial small subunit ribosomal RNA
Source: RNAcentral